UUGAUCCUGGCUCAGGACGAACGCUGGCGGCGUGCUUAACACAUGCAAGUGGAGCGACGAACCGGGCUUCGGCCCGGGGCAAAGCCGCGAACGGGUGAGUAACACGUGGGUAACCCACCCCGAUGACCGGGACAACCCGAGGAAACUCGAGCUAAUACCGGAUGUUCUCGCUUCUCGUAAGGGAAACGAGCAAAGAUAGCUUCGGCCUUCGCAUCGGGACGGGCCCGCGGCCCAUUAGCUUGUUGGUGGGGUAACGGCCUACCAAGGCGACGAUGGGUAGCUGGUCUGAGAGGACGAUCAGCCACACUGGGACUGAGACACGGCCCAGACUCCUACGGGAGGCAGCAGUGGGGAAUCUUGCGCAAUGCGCGAAAGCGUGACGCAGCAACGCCGCGUGGGGGAAGAAGGCCUUCGGGUUGUAAACCCCUUUCAGUUGGGACGAAGCUUCGCCGGUUAAUAGCCGGCUGGAGUGACGGUACCUUCAGAAGAAGCCCCGGCUAACUACGUGCCAGCAGCCGCGGUAAUACGUAGGGGGCUAGCGUUGUCCGGAAUCAUUGGGCGUAAAGCGCGUGUAGGCGGUCCGGUAAGUCCGCUGUGAAAGUCGGGGGCUCAACCCUCGGAUGCCGGUGGAUACUGUCGGGCUUGAGUACGGAAGAGGCGAGUGGAAUUCCUGGUGUAGCGGUGAAAUGCGCAGAUAUCAGGAGGAACACCAAUUGCGAAGGCAGCUCGCUGGGACGUCACUGACGCUGAGACGCGAAAGCGUGGGGAGCAAACAGGAUUAGAUACCCUGGUAGUCCACGCUGUAAACGAUGGGCACUAGGUGUGGGGGGUGUCGACUCCCUCCGUGCCGAAGCUAACGCAUUAAGUGCCCCGCCUGGGGAGUACUGCCGCAAGGCUAAAACUCAAAGGAAU
This 912-nucleotide ribosomal RNA is filed under the name uncultured bacterium. RNAcentral describes it as "bacterial SSU rRNA". It matches the Rfam family "Bacterial small subunit ribosomal RNA", at positions 13 to 910 of the family's 1533-position model. The record is from RNAcentral.